GAUCCUGGCUCAGGAUGAACGCUAGCUACAGGCUUAACACAUGCAAGUCGAGGGGGCAGCAUGAACUUAGCUUGCUAAGUUUGAUGGCGACCGGCGCACGGGUGAGUAACACGUAUCCCACCUGCCGAUGACGUCGGGGGAUAGCCUUUCGAAAAGAAAGAUUAAUACCCGAUGGCAUAGUUCUUCCGCAUGGUGGAACUAUUAAAGAAUUUCGGUCAUCGAUGGGGAUGCGUUCCAUUAGG
This 242-nucleotide ribosomal RNA is filed under the name uncultured bacterium. Its description in RNAcentral is "partial 16S ribosomal RNA". It matches the Rfam family "Bacterial small subunit ribosomal RNA", at positions 15 to 245 of the family's 1533-position model. The record is from RNAcentral.